Molecule: ribosomal RNA, 393 nt
Filed under: uncultured Bacteroides sp.
Lineage: Bacteria; Pseudomonadati; Bacteroidota; Bacteroidia; Bacteroidales; Bacteroidaceae
Description: bacterial SSU rRNA
Rfam family: Bacterial small subunit ribosomal RNA
Source: RNAcentral
GCAGAGGAAUAUAGUUGAAAGAAUUAUAGCCGCAAGGUCUCUGUGAAGGUGCUGCAUGGUUGUCGUCAGCUCGUGCCGUGAGGUGUCGGCUUAAGUGCCAUAACGAGCGCAACCCUUAUCAUUAGUUACUAACAGGUCAUGCUGAGGACCCUAGUGAGACUGCCGUCGUAAGAUGUGAGGAAGGUGGGGAUGACGUCAAGUCAUCAUGGCCCUUACGACCAGGGCUACACACGUGCUACAAUGGCAUAUACAAAGAGAAGCGACCUCGCGAGAGCAAGCGGACCUCAUAAAGUAUGUCGUAGUCCGGAUUGGAGUCUGCAACUCGACUCCAUGAAGUCGGAAUCGCUAGUAAUCGUGGAUCAGAAUGCCACGGUGAAUACGUUCCCGGGCCUU